Molecule: non-coding RNA, 108 nt
Filed under: Pseudonocardia sp.
Lineage: Bacteria; Bacillati; Actinomycetota; Actinomycetes; Pseudonocardiales; Pseudonocardiaceae
Also listed under: 1 other name
Description: TPP sequence
Rfam family: TPP riboswitch aptamer (THI element)
About the family: Vitamin B(1) in its active form thiamin pyrophosphate (TPP) is an essential coenzyme that is synthesised by coupling of pyrimidine and thiazole moieties in bacteria. The previously detected thiamin-regulatory element, thi box was extended, resulting in a new, highly conserved RNA secondary structure, the THI element, which is widely distributed in eubacteria and also occurs in some archaea.
Source: RNAcentral
GAGAACCACGGGAGCCCGGCGAUCGGGCUGAGAGGGGACCAGGCGCGGUCCCGACCGUCGAACCUGAUCCGGGUCAUGCCGGCGCAGGGAGCGAGGUGGCAGAUCCAU